AUUUUGCAGAAAGGGGACUGAAGAACUUCCUCUUUAAAACAGCCUUCAAAGGAACUGAAAUAUUACAAAAAUCAGAGACCAAAUUCACAGCUGGCACGAGUGGGCACCUCCCAGUUUGAGGAGUUCAAGUUCUUUCUCUUCAAAGUGGUUGCCACAUCAGCAGUAACUAUAUGAUAAACCGAGAGGCCACAAUCAACAUUUGCAGCCAUCAUACAGCAUCAGACAGACAGUCAGUCCCCUUUUAUGCCUCCUCUGCUAUUGUUCUACACUGUCAGCAUCUACCUUCUUAGUCAUCAGGACUUGUGGCCCAAACUGAUUUGCUAAGGGCUUGAUCUGUGGUUUCUCCACUGAACAUCAAGGAGAGACUUACACUGUGUUCAGUAGGCUGCAAGUCAGACCCUGAGACACCAUCAGAAACCUCCAUCAGAGUGAUGGUGAUUAGAAAAUCAGCUAAGGAGAGCAAAGUUUCCCCUCAGCCCCAUCUGAGACAUCAAGAACAAUGAUUCCAGAUGUAAGCAAAAAGUUUUCCAUCACAGCACAUCACAGGACCUGCAGGCGUGCCUCGAAAUGAAGAUUGCAAAUGACGUGGGUGCUGUGAGCCUGAUGAACACCUUGAGAGCUGACAGAUGACAAUCUUAAAAGACUGAUAAAAGUAAACUGUGGACCUUUUCCCUUGGCUCGAGGUGGGGACAAAGACAUCUGCAGCCUUUGCCUGGAUCGUUCGGGUCAAGAGUGAACAGGAGAGGGCAGCAUCGCUUUAGACUUACGAUGCAAGGCAUGGCCUUAACAUCCCACAGAAGUGCACACUACAGGGAAAGCAAAGGAGUGCGAGAGUUGACAGGUGAGGAUUCUGGGAGAACAAGAGCAUGGAGCACUCUCAGUGUUCUGCCCACUGUGACUCUUAGCACACUCCCAGCAAACCCACCUGGGGCGAACCCUGUGCCUCCCACUGAGCACAGGAAGGACAAUGUUUUGUGCUACAGUGCCAGCAUGCCCAAGAGGAAGCACUGUGGGAUGGGCAUUUCAAUCCCUGCUGUAUUCCUGAAUGGGAUGCACUGAGGCUAAGGAAAUGGAUGGGGUGAAAUCUUGUCCUAAUUAUGUUAAUAGGAGUAUUGUAAUUGUCUUCAGUGGAGCUAGGCUUUCUCUGCGUGGAACCUGACAGAAAAUCCCAAUACCCACUUGUGUUUCCCUAUUUCAGGAUGAAAAUUAGGUACAGCACAUAUUUCACUCACUGGUGUACAGCUAUCACCAUGGAAACCCUGUUCAAUAGAGUGUGAAAACUUUUACAGGACUUGCUGGGUUCAUAAAGUGUUGAGCACCAUCUUCCCCCCAUUAAUUUUAUUACAGGUACUAUCAUUCAAAAAUUAGGCAAUCUAAGUGUGUACAAAUAGCUGUAAUUAUACACCCAGCUGCCAUGAGUGUCUCUAAAACAAAUCCUGUACUGUAUUUCUCAAUUUAAUUUCACUCUUCAAGCAUACCAUGAUGACAUAACAAGAACUUCUGUAUUUUUCCAAGCAUAUAUUAAUUGUAUUUUCCACUGUAACAUUCUAGGAGUAGAUAUUGCUCCAUUUUGCAAAUGGGGAAACCAGAGUACACAGGAGUCACAGAUCUUGUCAAAACCAUGCAGCCAAGCCCUGGCAGAUUCAGGAAUGGAAUCCGUGAGUCCUGACUCUUUAGUUCCCCUGCUCUGAUCACCAGACAACACUCCCUUCCUCUGAAAUAGGCUAUUUUGAUUGAAAACAGAUGGUGUACAUUUUUGGCACAGUGUUUUUUAAGUAUAUUAAAAUGCUCUGAAUGAGUAUGUGCUUAUAUCAUACCUACAUCUGUAUACAUGUAUAUACAUGCAUACUGCAUCUAUGCAUACAGAAAUAGGUAUGAGUUAAGGACAUAUUAAUUUACAUAUAUCAUAUGCAAAUGUAAUGGAUAUACUGAAAGAUACUUAAGUGCAGCUGGACAGCUGACAUACCUAAACACAUAAGCUGUAAUCUUCAGUGAUAUUGUAAUUACACACUACAUAUUCUCUCUCUCUAAGCAACAGACUUUAUGCUCUUGAUGGAGUGUCCACUUUGAUGCAAUUCAUGCAUUAAAGUUUUUUAUCAUUUGAUGAAAAAUUUUAGUGAUGUUUCUGUAAGGGAUUAAUUAUAUCAAUUUUCAUUAGCUACAGGACCAACCUCCAUCCUAGCUGAACAAUGCCUUUAGUGGGCACUGCCUGCAUUUGUAGUGUUGUGAAUUUUUCCUGCAACUGAGCUAUGUCUUAAAUAUCAUACUUAUCUUUUGGAUUUGCUCUUUCUGCCAUAGUGUUUGCCCUUGAAUUAAGUCUUCUCUAAACAGUUUGUUUUCAGCUAAGGACUGGCAAACCCUGGAUUUGCUGUCUGUCAGGAUUAAGAUUUUCCCACACAUCCUACCCUGGAGGAGAUAACAAGGAACAGUUUUUACUUAACCAAUUCCUCACCUGCAGCCUUGGGUCAGGUAAAGAUGGGCUGCUGUAUCAGUGGGCAAACAGCUCAGGAGACCUUUUCCAUGGUUGGAAAUCAGCAGAAUGGGCUUGUAUUGCUUGUUCUCCUGUGGAUUCCCAGUAAAUAUGAGAAGGUGGGCUUCAAAAGCCACUCACAUGGGAUACAUCCUAGUUACAACCCUCUUUCCAAAGUCCCUCCCCAUUGACUGUAUUUCCAUUUCUUAUAUUGGUUGACUGGAUUUCCCCCCUCACUUUCCACAAAAGAGGUAAAAAAUUUAGCCUUCAAAUCCACAGUCAUGCAGGGGGAGUUGGAAACAGCUCAUUCCCAUGGGUACUCUUUGUCUGCAUAUUGGCCCCAGUCACCUCACACCUUAUAUGCACAGAAAGUGAGUCAAAAUCAGGGGUGAGAUUAGAAUUUGGGAAUUGUGUCAUUGCAGAAAGGGGACCUGAGCAAAAACAGUUAUUUUUGUCUGUGCUAAUUCCUUCUGGACUGACCUGUGAGUGUAUAACAGAAAAAGGAAAUAUUGCUGAUACUCACUGCUCUUCUGUCUUUUUUGGUUCUAAAUCUGCAGAACUCAGGAAUCAGGAAAUGCCUGCAAAAAGGUUUUGAGGAGGUCACAGAAGCAAAAGUAUGCUGCAGUGCUGCUUUAUCUACAGAUAAACAAAAUAUGGCUACUUACUAUAAUGAAAAAAGAGCUUAAUCUCUUUCAGAACUGUAGAUCAAAAUCCACAAAAAGUAGAACCGGUGUUUUCUGGUUUCAUACUCAAUGCUGUAAUGCAGUACUAAAAUCUCCACAAUUGUAUUUAUAAUAUCAGGUAGCAUCAGGUAGCAGUUGUCAAUGGAGAGUACCCUACCUCAGUUCUUGACUUACACAGAAUGGAUUAGCAUGUUUGUAUUUUCCUGCCUGUUUGUUAUGCUACAAAACUAAUAUUCUGGCACAAUCCAUUCUUAGUAAAGAUUUUUUUAAUGCUGGCUUCCUUUGUAUCAAAAGGUACAGUUAACUCAGGAUAGUUCUCUUGCAAUUCAAUACACUAAGCUAUUUUGCUCUAACUUUGCAAAACUAAAUAUAAAUUUCCAAGUAGAAAAAAGUGUUAAAAGGGAAGUCUGUUCUUGCAAACUAUUAUGUGGUAACCAGGCCUCUCCCAUAUCAAUAAAAAGCUCUCCACAGUGACACUCUUGCCCUUUCUCUAGUCAUUUUCUGCCAGGUAGGAAUCAGAGAAAUGCAAAACAGCCUUAAAAGCUCCAUAUCUGAUCAGAAGAAACUCUCCCAGUGCAGGUCAGGCACUGACUGACAAAGAUGUUGUUCCAUUUCCCUUUUAAUAAGCCAUUCCAAAGAGGUCUGAGUUAAUUUUUCAGGCUGCUGUAUGGCAUGAAUGCCAGUGCUGCCAGGAUGAUGAGGCUGUUUGAAGGCAACACAGCUUGAGCUGCUCUGAAAUGCUGGUUGCAUGCAGUG
Non-coding RNA from Cyanistes caeruleus (blue tit), 3909 nucleotides. The record is from RefSeq and is a predicted model, not a curated record. NCBI's taxonomy places the organism in Eukaryota, Metazoa, Chordata, Aves, Passeriformes, Paridae.